Molecule: unclassified non-coding RNA, 4057 nt
Filed under: Hevea brasiliensis (rubber tree)
Lineage: Eukaryota; Viridiplantae; Streptophyta; Magnoliopsida; Malpighiales; Euphorbiaceae
Source: RNAcentral
UGGAGGAAGGAUGUGAGACGCUGAAACCAAGCUCGUGGAGCUUGUUUAAGACCGUAUAAGGAUCGAUUUAAUUUACAAACAUAUUCCGGAUGUGUAGGAUCUUGAAAACCCGAAGGCUGCUCCACGUAUAUUUCAUUGUCAAUGAAUCCGUGAAGGAAGGCAUUUGAGAUGCCAAGCUCAUGAAUAGGCCACUUUGAAGUUGUGGCAAUGGAAAGCACUGUGCAAAUUGUUGUUGGUUUAACCACAGGGCUGAAAGUUUCAUUAUAAUCGAUUCCAGGCUAUUGAGAGAAGCCCUUAGCUACAAGUCAUGCCUUGUAGUGUUCAAUCUCACCAUUAGCCUUCCUUGUAAUCCGAAAUAUCCACUUGUUGCCAAUAAUGUUUUUACCAGAAGGUUUAGGGACCAAAGUCCAUGUUUGAUUCUGAAGUAAAGCAUUAAUUUCGGAUUGCAUUGCACUUCUCCAUUCAGCAUAAGGCUUGGCUUAGUUGCAAGUUUUGUGUUCAACAGAGAGGUAAGAAAUAUUUUUGGUGGCUAAUAAGGCUUGUCGUUUAUUCAUGGUGGUAUGUCUUAAUGUCAUUGGGUGGGUUCUUUGAGGGGAAGAGGUCAUUAAGGUAGAUGGGUGUGUUGGCUGUGGAUAAGAGGUAAGAUUAACUACAAGUUGUAAUCCCUUAGAAUCAGAUGAGGGAGAGUUAGGUAACACACUGGAAUUUGAAUUUUGUGGAGAAUAGGAACUUGGUGAGUUAGAAGUGUUGGAUGAGGAUGAGGGAGGAGAGAGAGGAUCAGGUAUUGGUGUUUGAGUAGGAGAGAGAGCGGCUUGAAGAGACACGGGAAGGGGAUUUAGAAGAAGAUGAAGAUGUAACAGAAUUAUUUAAAUUAGAAAUUUGAGGAUUACGAUGAGGAGAAAUACCUGAAGUCUGCAGGGCUGAAGAAGGUGGAGUAUUACUAUCAAUAACAAGCCACCGCGAAGAGGGUAAAUUUGACGGGGACUCUUGACUGAUAGACUUAUAUAAAAAUAAUUUGGGAUUAAAAACCAUAUGUCUUGCAAGAUAAAUUCGGCCUGUUGUAAAAUCAAGACAUUUGCUGCCACAAUGAGAGGGACUUAGGCCUAAAUAAAUACACAGUUUACUUCUAAAAUCAAACUUGUGUCUGUUGUGAGGACGCAACAGAGGGUAAACUGCACAGCCAAAGGGUUUAACAUCAACAUAAGCUGGAUUUUUAUCAUAUAAAACAGAAAAGGAGCUUUUAUUUUUAAGAACUGAAGAUGGCAAAAUGUUAAUAGGCGGUUUCAAAGGCAUAAUUCCAAUAUUUUUUUGGAACAUUAACAUGAGCAAGUAAUGUUAAAGCAGUAUCAACUAAAUGACAUAUUUUACGUUCAGCAAUGCCAUUUUGUUCAUGUGUGUAAGGACAAGCGAUGCGAUGUUGAAUACCGUUUUGUUGAAAAUAUGGAUUAAGCUUUUGAAAUUCACCACCCCAGUCAGAAUGGAAGGACAGAAUUUUGCUAUUAAAUUGACAGUGAGUCAUACUUUGAAAAUUGAAGAACAUAGACGAAACAUCACUUUUAUUUUUAAGCAAAUAUAUCCAAGUAAAACAGGAAAAAUCAUCUACAAGAAUCAACACAUAACGAUGACCCAAACAUGAUAAAAGUGGUGUUGGACCCCAUACAUCGGCAUGAAUAAUUUGAAAGGGAGCAGAGCUCCGAUGUUCAAUAGAAGCUAAUGGGACACAAGCUAAUUUGCCUAAAAGGCAAGACGAACACGGUUGAAAGGACUGACUAGCACAAGGUAAUUGAAAUUCUUUUAUUAAUUUUAACACUGUCCGACAAGCAGGAUGGCCUAAGGCAGCAUGCCAAUCGUUGAUGGAUGGAAUUUUAAAAUUCAUAGCAUGUUUGACAUGAGGCUGAAAGGUGUAUACUCCAGCUUCACUUGGGCCCUGCAUGAGAAUUUUCUUUGACACCUGAUCCUUGACAACAAAAUAAGAGGGUCAAAAUUCAAAAAAACAAUUGCUAUCUCGUGUGAAUUUUUGGACUGAAAGCAGAUUUUUAACGAUGUGAGGAACACAGAGAACAUUAUUUAAUUGAAGGGGACCACAAGAGGAAGAAAGAGAAGUCUUACCAGUGUGCGUGAUAUCUAAACCAUGUCCAUUACCAACAUGGAGUUGAUCAUUACCUUGGUAUUCAUUGGCAAUACUGAGGGUGGAGAGAUCAAGUGUGAUGUGGUAGUUGACAGCGGUGUCGGGAUAGCAUGGCAUUGGAGAAUUCAUGCGUGUGUAAUGAGCAACUGGUGCAGAUGGAGAAGAGGCCAUCAUGGUCGGGCUAGCUUUAGAAAAAUUGGCAGUGGAAGCAGCUGGUUGAUUUGGAGAAUUGGAUCUUGAGUAAUUGGUGUAGCGUCUUCUACAAUUGUCAGCAGUAUGAUUUCGAAACUCACAUAUUUGACAAGGGCCAUGAGUUCGUGAAGCACCAUUAUUGCUGCGUUUCUGAUUUGGAUGUGAAGGAGUGGGCAAAAGUGGGGGAUUAGCAUUAGAGCAGGCAGAAAAAUUGACUUAUGGAAUUUCUAUGGAGCUUUUAAGAAGGAUUUCAUGAGCAACUAAUUGCCCAUGCAAUUCUGCAAAGGAGAUAGGUUCUCAACAAAGAUUCAAGGCUAUAAUAAUGGGGUGAAACUCUGAACCAAUGUUACGGUAAAUUAUAGCAUUGAACUCAGCUGGAGUUAAGGUGGAAAUGAAGAAGGCAUGCCUUUCUAGAGCCUUGUGUCUAGAACAAGGCAUAUAAGGCGCUAGGAUUGGAUGCCUGGUGGUGUGCUUUGAACCUAAGACGCAACUUUAAUAAUUACGCAAUAAAUCAAAUACUUAUGAUGUUGAUACUUUUGAAAUAUUCUCCAACAAGUUACUUGAUCUAUAAUAACCAACUAGGGAAAAGAGCAAACCACUUUAUUGUAUACUGUCUGAUAUUGCUUAUUCAUUUCUUUAGGCCAUUUCACAUAAGACUCCCUUGUCAAUUUUACAAAAACCACAAGUAUGGUCUGAUUUCUGUUUAUUGCCCCUUUCAAACUCCUCUUUGCUCAACUUAACUCAACAAAGACUUCCCCGAACAAAUCUCCAAUAACAACACCAAAUCCAAUUUUAUCAAUAACUUUUCUACCCUUUUGUUUGUCAGAAGAAGGGGUUGGGGAAGGAGGUGUGAACAAUCGCAAUAAGUCAUCAAGUCGUACUGCACAUUCAACAUUUUCUUCUUUUAAAUAGUUUGUCUUAAUUUCAAAAGAUAUCAUUUUGCAUCUUCCAAUAUAGAACACCUCAACUUCUUAUACAGCUUGCUUGCAUCACAAACAUGGAACUACAGUUUCCCAACUAUCUAAUCCAUUAAACGUGUCUAGGCUCGUAUUCACCAUACCAAAAACCAUUAUCUAUAAAUAUAUACACCAAAUCCAGGAUAUAAUUUUCUUAAAACUGAAACCAACAUGUGUAGCAAAACCACCAUGUGUAGCAAUGAACAACUCGAUAAAAAUCCAAAAAAGAGAGCAGUCAUUAUCCAAAAUAAAGCUAAAAAAAUUCACAGAAACAAGCUCAUAAUAUACCCCUAGAAAAUCAAAUCGUGUUCUACACAAAGUCCCCCAAUCUCGUCCAAUUGAAAAGAAAUCGAAUCAAUCGCAAUUAUGUUAUCAAACCAAAGAAAACUAAAAUAAACGCAGUCGCUAAGUAGCAGUUACGCAAAAUCCCAAAAAUAUCAUCUCUCUCUUUUCCUUCAUUUGCCCUCGCUUUCUCGGCAAACAAACAUAGCUAUAAAUUAAUAAACAGGUUUAUGAAAAAGUUCAUGAAAUUUGAAACAGUUACUUGCCUGGGUUUUUUUCUUUUUCCUUUUCUUUUCCUUUUUUCAAUUGGGGGAGGGAGCGUGUAUUUGGAAACCCUAGAGAAGAAAAAGAGUUUCAGGGAGAGAGAUGUCCUGUUGAAAUCUGAUGAAGAACAAAUCGAUAGAUAACUCUCACGGGUUUUAAGAGAUCGGAAAGAAAAGAGAGAUCCGUGCUGGUGAAAAGCUACGAUUUUAGAGUGUUGGCUCUUUAGAUCGCGCAG